CCUACGGGUGGCAGCAGUGGGGAAUAUUGCGCAAUGGGCGAAAGCCUGACGCAGCGACGCCGCGUGGGUGAUGAAGGCCUUCGGGUUGUAAAGCCCUGUCGGGUGGAACGAACGAUCUGGCGGCGAAUAACCGCCGGGUGUGACGGUACCACCGAAGGAAGCCCCGGCUAACUACGUGCCAGCAGCCGCGGUAAGACGUAGGGGGCGAGCGUGGUUCGGAUUUACUUAGGGGGAAGCGCGAGUCGGCUGUGAAACCCCUCGGCUUAACCGAGGUACCGCAUCCGAUACUGGCUGGCUCGAGUCUAGGAGAGGAAAGCGGAAUUCCCAGUGUAGCGGUGAAAUGCGUAGAUAUUGGGAGGAACACCGGUGGCGAAGGCGGCUUUCCGGACUAGUACUGACGCUGAGGCGCGAAAGCUAGGGGAGCGAACGGGAUUAGAUACCCCGGUAGUC
RNAcentral lists this ribosomal RNA (450 nucleotides) under uncultured bacterium. RNAcentral describes it as "partial 16S ribosomal RNA". It matches the Rfam family "Bacterial small subunit ribosomal RNA", at positions 338 to 795 of the family's 1533-position model. The record is from RNAcentral.